Molecule: long non-coding RNA, 3498 nt
Organism: Mirounga angustirostris (Northern elephant seal)
Lineage: Eukaryota; Metazoa; Chordata; Mammalia; Carnivora; Phocidae
Exons: 5
Source: RefSeq, a predicted model, not a curated record
CUUCUGCUAACCUUCACUUAUAUUGAAGGGAGAAAAGUGGUUAAAAGCCAAUUUCACAUCCUCCCUCAUCCUUCACACUUGAGCACAAAUGCCCAACGGUUUUGGACUGUCAUCUGUUGUCCUAGUUCCUGGCUGGAGGAAGUGUUAGAACAUGCAGCUCCUUGCUCUGCAGAAAAUCACCCCAUUCCAGAGGACACAACAAGCCUGACUGAAGAAUGAGAUCUUUGGUGGGCACUAUGGUGACCUGCAGGAAAGUGAUAAGGGCGGACUUCCCAACAAUAUCAAGUAGCAGCUGACUACACAAGAUAGGUGAGUUCACUGUGGCCAGCUCUCCAGACCCACUACAGCUUGCUAUGUGCGAGGACCUCCAGCCAAGACACUGCACGGGAGAAGGAGCCAGAGAGGAGGGGCAACUGCUCUAAGAUGGCUGGAGCUACUAGUCAACGAGGCCAAGAGCGUCAUGUGACCCAGCAACGGAUAGUUGUUUUUCCAGAAAGACAACAUGUCUUGGGUUCCUCUCGCAUCCCACUGCAGGUGGUCCCCCUUCAACAAUGGGGGUCAAGUGCCCUCUCACGCUUUGAGUCUCCCCAACUUCUGCCACAUCUCUCUGAGCGCGACCUGAGAAAAUUCUCUGCUUUUAAGGUCUUGUGUGAUUAGGGCUUCUAGUGAGCAAACACUAUCCAGCAAGUCGGAAACAAUAUGAUGAAACAUCACCAUUGAUAUUACUGGAGUUGACUGCUAGAAAUUAAGUUUUUCACAAAAUGACUACAAAGUUUGCAGUGGGUGAGUUCUCUGUGCUUGGUACCCCACAUAACAAUAACCAAAUGUGAUUGGCUUUUGUAUCUCUCAACAAUAAUUGACUUGGUUCCAUUUUCCUUCGAUUAUUACAAAUGCAAGAUUUCAAGUCCCACAACUUGCUAAAAAGCAUCCCUAUUUGCCUGUGCUUCUUUCUCUCCCUGAACCAAGAACAGAGCUGCCACCCACAUGUAUGGUAGUGACUAGCUCACACUUAUUUAGAGGCUGGGUGGGAGGAAGCAUGGAAGGAAAGUGGGUCAUCCCUUCUCCGCUGUUAUAUACAAAACCAAAAACCAGUUUCAAAGGCCACUAUUUAAAAUAAAUGGAAAAAAAAUUGAAGGCUUCCCCCCCAUAGUUCAGAAAUAUAAUAAAAAGUUAUACAUACCCAGAUUUGUCUGGUUUUACCCAAACAACACAAAGUAAUCAACACAAAUCCCACAUUUCUAGUCUCCCAGUUGGACUGGCUCCGGAAUUGGGUGAAUCACGCUGCAUGAAGAACAAGCCCACUCCAUUCAUACAAACAAAUUGUUUUUGUUUCUCCUUCAUCACUUGUCGGAACAAUAGAGUCAGACGAGCUGGCUGACUGUUCAACUUUCUUUAAUUCACUCUGAAUUUUUUAAACUGAUUCCUUGAUAGAUGAUUCUUGGUAGGAUUUUGAAAGAUUGGGUUGGAAGGAUGGACUAAACCCCUAUCCUUAGCUAUUUAUUUAAUUCUAUGCUAUGGGAGAUACCGAUUCAUUAUGAGAGUUUACAGCAUAAGCAGGAUCUCUAUUCUGCAUAUCAGGACUAAUUGAGAUAUUCCUUCUGUAACAUUUAUAAGUGCCAGAUCUUGCUGUAGUAGGUGUAUUGAGAACCGUUUGUAUAUAGCCCUUUAUAAUUCAUAAAGCACUUCCGCAUUUUUGUAUUACCACAAAACACCAUGAAAUGUAUGUUUCAUUAUACCAACUUUACAGAUGAGAAAAUCGGGGCCCAGAAGUUUUAGAUGACUUGGCUUUUGCCAGGCAAGAACCAAACCAAGCUUCGUUCGAUACAAAGGUAGAAUUCUCAAUCACUGUGCUGUCCCACCUUGCAAAGGGACUUUUCUCUUCUUUCCCCCCUACCUUCCCACUUACUCUCUUCCCUACCACUUUUCCUCAGAGGAGGAAGCAUCCCUUUUCUUUGCAAAAUGACCAGUGACCUCCAACUUUCUCCAUGUGCAUGCUCUGGUCCCUUUCUCACGGUCUUUGCCUUCAACUACCAGUUUUCAAACCCAGGCUUUAACAAUGGGCCUAACACGUGCCUGUCUCUGUGCUCAGGAAUGAGGGAACAGAGAAGAUGUGACCCAUGACCCACUUUGGAGCUUUACAGACCUCCUGGGGAAAGUGGCUAUACACACUCACUCGGCCUGCACUUACCGAAUGUCUGAUGUAUACCAGGUGUUAUCCCGGGCCCCGAAUACUCCACGGGGAACACAGUAGACACAGGCCUUGAACUCAGGGAGCUGACAGCUAUCAAUAAAACAGAGCUGACAACAGAUGCUUCAUGAAGUUAAUGUGAAGAUUGAGUGAGACAUCGUAUUACACAGUGGUGCUCAGUAACAGCCCAACCCACCCCUGUACUGUUUGUUGCUAAUGGGCUGUGAACUCCAGAGCUGGUGAGGUGCAGCCCAAUUGAAAUAUACCAAUUUCGGGUCAGACAACAUAUUUAGGUAUUUCCUUCUGAGAAGCAGAAUUAAACCAUAGAAUACAUUACUAGUGUUGCUAAUAUUUUAAAGUGCCCGUGAUAGGGGCUCCUGGGUGGUACAGUUGGUUGAAUAUCCAACUCUUGGUUUUGGCUCAGGUCACGAUCUCAGGGUCCUGGGAUUGAGCCCUGCAUCGGGCUCCAUGCUCAGUGGGGAGUCUGCUUGAGGUUCUUUCUCCCUCUCGUUCUGCCCCUCCCAUUUGUGCUGUCCCUCUCUCUCUCUCUAAAAUAAAUAAAUAAAUCUUUUUAAAAAAAUCAAGUGCUAGCGAUAGAAAUUAAAAUACUACUAGUUUUUGAGUAUCUACUUUGUGCCUAUUGGACUAGAUGAUUUAUCAUGCAUUUUCCCACAGAACAAUCUUGUGAGGGAAGUAUGUUUAUCUCGCUGCUAUAGAAGGAGAGACUGAGGGUCAGGAGAUUAAGUAAAUGGUUCAAGGACACACAAUUUCAUCGGUUCCAGUUGUGAAAUAUGCACCCACUCACACUGAUUCUCAGCAUGGUUUUCUCCCAGGUGGACUCAGAGAUGCCCUCAAACUCAUAAAGACUUCAAGUGGAAUUUUAAUGCACAGUGAGAUAAAGGGGGUGGGAGGAAAGAAGCCAACAAUCCCUCAGAAAGUUCAGGAAAGAGUAGAACCUACAGAUGAAUCACUGUUAGGAUUUUCCCCCUUCUUUACAGGAAACUCAAUUUGUCAGACAAGAAGAGGUAGAGAAGCAUUUAGCUGUCUCCCUGCAGCCCAACCAGGUCUGAGGAAAUUGCUUCUAGAAGUGCAAAUUUGGCUUAAAAGCCUGUGGGCUGACAAAAAGCUAUUUAGACUCCACUAGAAAGCUCUGUUGCCUAUUAUGUUUGUGUGAAGGUAAAACUAAGAGGAGAUACUUGGGAUUUAAACAUAUUGACCCUUUCACAGCCCUGAGUAUGCACGAGGUAGCUGAAAGACUUGAGAAAAUCUCAGGUUUGGUUCCCUGCUCCUGCAAGGUAAGGCUCCAGGGU